GAUGAACGCUGGCGGCGUGCCUAAUACAUGCAAGUCGAACGAACAGACGAGGAGCUUGCUCCUCUGACGUUAUCGGCGGACGGGUGAGUAACACGUGGAUAACCUACCUAUAAGACUGGGAUAACUUCGGGAAACCGGAGCUAAUACCGGAAAAUAUAUCGAACCGCAUGGUUCAAUAGUUGAAGUCGGUUUUGCUGACACUAAUAGCUGGAUCCGCGCCGCAUUAGCUAGUUGGUAAGGUAACGGCUUAACAAGGCAACGAUGCGUAUACGACCUGAGAGGGACAACGGAUACCCUGGCACAGAGGCACGGCACAGACUCCGACGGGAGGAAGCAGUAGGGACUCUUACGCGAUGGGGGAAAGCCUGACGGAGCAAAGUCGCGUGAGGGAUGAAGGUCUUCGGCUCGUUAAACGAUGAUAUUAGGGAAGAACAAAAGUGUAAGUAACUAUGAACGUCUUGACGGUACCUAAACAGAAAGCCACGGCUAACUCCGUG
RNAcentral lists this ribosomal RNA (497 nucleotides) under uncultured bacterium. Its description in RNAcentral is "partial 16S ribosomal RNA". It matches the Rfam family "Bacterial small subunit ribosomal RNA", at positions 28 to 507 of the family's 1533-position model. The record is from RNAcentral.